UGCCCCAGUAACGGCGAGUGAAGCGGCAUCAGCUCAAAUUUGAAAUCUGGCCCCUCCCGGGGCCCGAGUUGUAAUUUGCAGAGGGCGCUUCGGGCGAAGCCCCGGUCCAAGUCCCUUGGAACAGGACGUCAGAGAGGGUGAGAACCCCGUGUCCGACCGGCGGCGCUCCCCGCGUGAAGCCCCUUCGACGAGUCGAGUUGUUUGGGAAUGCAGCUCCAAAUGGGUGGUAAAUUCCAUCUAAAGCUAAAUACCGGCCAGAGACCGAUAGCGCACAAGUAGAGUGAUCGAAAGAUGAAAAGCACUUUGGAAAGAGAGUCAAACAGUACGUGAAAUUGUUGAAAGGGAAGCGCUUGCGGCCAGACUUGCCCGCGGGUGUUCAGCCCGCCCUCGCGGCGGGCGCACUCUCCCGCGGUCAGGCCAGCAUCGGCUCCGGCGGCCGGACAAAGGCCCGGGGAACGUGGCCCCCUCCGGGGGGUGUUAUAGCCCCGGGCGCAAUGCGGCCAGCCGGGGCCGAGGACCGCGCUCUGCUAGGAUGCUGGCGUAAUGGCCGCAAGCGGCCCGUCUUGAAACACGGACCAAGGAGUCUAACGUCCAUGCGAGUGUUCGGGUGUCAAACCCCUGCGCGCAAUGAAAGUGAACGGAGGUGGGAGCCCUCGGGCGCACCAUCGACCGAUCCCGAUGUCUUCGGAAGGAUUUGAGUAAGAGCAUGGCUGUUGGGACCCGAAAGAUGGUGAACUAUGCCUAGAUAGGGUGAAGCCAGAGGAAACUCUGGUGGAGGCUCGCAGCGGUUCUGACGUGCAAAUCGAUCGUCAAAUCUGGGUUUAGGGGCGAAAGACUAAUCGAACCAUUUA
Molecule: ribosomal RNA, 851 nt
Filed under: Seynesiella juniperi
Lineage: Eukaryota; Fungi; Ascomycota; Dothideomycetes; Myriangiales
Description: partial large subunit ribosomal RNA
Rfam family: Eukaryotic large subunit ribosomal RNA
Source: RNAcentral